RNAcentral lists this long non-coding RNA (321 nucleotides) under Amborella trichopoda. Its description in RNAcentral is "long non-coding RNA (ATRI_LNC003149)". The record is from RNAcentral. Lineage: Eukaryota; Viridiplantae; Streptophyta; Magnoliopsida; Amborellales; Amborellaceae.
GUCUAAUUUAAACAUUUUGAGCCUUGUUUUUAGGCUUUUUGUCAGAGGAGGUCUCUACCAGAGGGAUGACUAGAUGUAUGUGCCCGGCGGACUCGAUCUAAUACUGCAUUGCUCACACCUUGAUGAUUGAUUAUCAAAUCAUCAUACCGAUCUAAGAGUUCUCCCCUUUUAGUGUUUUCUACAACCGGCUCAAUUAGGGCCAAAUAGAUAAGCUUCACACCAACUCAAGCUAAACUCAAUCCUAAAAUCUCCGUGUCAAGCAGCUUAACAUAAAGAAAGAGGAAGAACUCCGGCCUAGCCAUCAGGCAUGAGGUCAUCAUC